Long non-coding RNA from Myripristis murdjan (pinecone soldierfish), 1436 nucleotides. RefSeq lists it as uncharacterized. NCBI's taxonomy places the organism in Eukaryota, Metazoa, Chordata, Actinopteri, Holocentriformes, Holocentridae. The record is from RefSeq and is a predicted model, not a curated record. The transcript is spliced from 3 exons.
UGUUAACGCUAACGUUUGACAGGUGAUGCUUUUUCUCUGAAGCUAGCUAGCGACAACUGAAAUAUCUUUUUUCCCCUUAUGUUAUUAGCGGAUUUGUUUCCUAAUGUAAGUUUCGUUGUGGGUUAUGAGUGCAAAGAAUAAAAUAAGGUUGCAUUUUACUGUUAAUAAGGUUCAUUAAGUGAUUAAACUCGUCACGUAGAGGCCUCAGAAGACAAACGACAAGAAUUGAAUGAAGAGCUAUAAGACAGACGGUGGAAGCAGCCAUUCCUCCUGAGCAUCUUGGUAUCUAGAGAUGAUCAUUUUUGCCUGGAGCCUCUGUCCACCCCCUCACAGGAUAGUGCUGCUGCCCGCCAGGCUCACAGGAGUACAGGCUGCCUCUUCUUUUUUGGGAGAUUGUCCCACUGGUCAACCUACUCAUGAGGUGAGGACGAGGACACCAACAUCAUCCAGGUGUCCCUUCGUCAGAUCAGGGGCUCUGUGCUGCAUGCUAAAGUGUUCACAUACACUGUGUUUGGAGAUGGCACACAGCAGGUCAUAGUUGAUAACCGGCGUGGCAUCCUGAGACUGUUCCCACCCGACUGGAGGCGACGCAGGGGGGGAGAUCAGGAACUGCUUAUCUGGCUUAGGAGGCUCCAGACGAGGACUUCCUAUGUGGACGGACUGGAGGCGGGACGGGGAAGAGACAGAGGGGCGCACACAUGAGCCACGGUGACAGGCUGAAGAUCUGGUGAGUCCAGCUUUCUUUAGACAAAGUGCUCACUCACAUCAAAUCAAAUUUAUGUGACUCAAACGGCUUCACAAGCUCACAUUUUAACACAGUGAAUGAAAAACAAGGAGAGGCGACUGGCAGCCCCCAGCCUCUCCCAAAAACCUCCUACGAAAACCUUGGGAAGAGCCUCACAGACAGCAGCACUGAUUUACUCUAUUACUCAGAGUCUAUUAAAUGCAUUGUUGGUGGUAAAGCACAAAGUGACUCAUGCACACCUGCUUAACCAGCUCAAAACUGCGAGUAACUAAACUCAUACCAAUUCAUUUGUAUGCUAAUUUGCAAUAAUACAAUUUUUACUUCCUUUUAUUAAUCUGAUAUAAGUUGAUGUUUCCAGUGGGGGACUGCUCAUUGGUUCAACGUCCGUUCAGAAACCCCAGUAGUCUGAAAAAUGUCCACUCCAUAAAUUUGGUUAAGUUUAGGCAGGGCUUUCCUCAGGUUAAGGUUAAAGGGUAAUAAGGGGGGAUGCAAAACCCGGCAUAACACCAGGCAGUCACUGAACUCAAGCAACUCCAGAGUGUGGAUUUUGGGAGCAGUGGGUGUUUUAAGAAUAACCGGGCAUUUAGUCCAAUGGGACAUGUUUCAGACUCUCUGGGUUUUAGAAUAAUGGGCCAUCAGAUGAAUGGCAUGGUUACCACAAAACCAACACACCACACCAAAAAAAUAAAUA